GACGAACGCUGGCGGCGUGCUUAACACAUGCAAGUCGAGCGGGGGUAGCAAUACCCUAGCGGCGGACGGGUGAGGAAUGCAUCGGAACGUGCCGAGUAGUGGGGGAUAACGCAGGGAAACUCGGGCUAAAUACCGCAUACGCUCUACGGAGGAAAGCCGGGGACCGCAAGGCCUGGCGCUAAUAGAUGAGCCCAAGUCGGAUUAGCUAGUUGGUAGGGUAACGGCCUACCAAGGCGACAAUCCGAGCUGGUCUGAGAGGACGACCAGCCACACCGGAACUGAGACACGGUCCGGACUCCUACGGGAGGCAGCAGUGGGGAAUAUUGGACAAUGGGGGCAACCCUGAUCCAGCGACGCCGCGUGGGUGAAGAAGGCCUGCGGGUUGUAAAGCCCUUUCGGU
Molecule: ribosomal RNA, 400 nt
Filed under: uncultured bacterium
Lineage: Bacteria
Description: bacterial SSU rRNA
Rfam family: Bacterial small subunit ribosomal RNA
Source: RNAcentral